CGCGGGCUUCGGCCUGGCGGCGAGUGGCGAACGGGUGAGUAAUAUAUCGGAACGUACCCAAGAGAGAGGGAGAAGGUAGCGAAAGUUACGCUAAUACCGCAUACGAUGUAAGGAUGAAAGUAGGGGAUAGCAAGACCUUGUGCUCAUGGAGCGGCAGAUAUCUGAUUAGCUAGUGGGUGAGGUAAUGGCUCACCAAGGCGACGAUCAGUAGUUGGUGUGAGAGGACGACCAGCCACACUGGAAGUGAGACACGGUCCAGACUCGUACGGGAGGCAGCAGUGGGACUCCUACGGGAGGGGGCAGUGGGGCGGCUGGCUCAGAACGAACGCUGGCGGCCGGCUCAGAACGAACGCUGGCGAAUGGCUCAGAACGAACGCUGGAUCUGNCGGA
RNAcentral lists this small RNA (390 nucleotides) under uncultured bacterium. RNAcentral describes it as "bacterial SSU rRNA". The stretch from base 1 to 283 matches the Rfam family "Bacterial small subunit ribosomal RNA", at positions 72 to 358 of the family's 1533-position model. The record is from RNAcentral.